CCUACGGGAGGCAGCAGUGAGGAAUAUUGGUCAAUGGGCGUAAGCCUGAACCAGCCAAGUCGCGUGAGGGAUGAAGGUUCUAUGGAUCGUAAACCUCUUUUAUAAGGGAAUAAAGUGUGGGACGUGUCCUGUUUUGUAUGUACCUUAUGAAUAAGGAUCGGCUAACUCCGUGCCAGCAGCCGCGGUAAUACGGAGGAUCCGAGCGUUAUCCGGAUUUAUUGGGUUUAAAGGGUGCGUAGGCGGCCUUUUAAGUCAGCGGUGAAAGUCUGUGGCGCAACCAUAGAAUUGCCGUUGAAACUGGGAGGCUUGAGUAUGUUUGAGGCAGGCGGAAGGCGUGGUGUAGCGGUGAAAUGCUUAGAUAUCACGCAGAACCCCGAUUGCGAAGGCAGCCUGCCAAGCCAUGACUGACGCUGAUGCACGAAAGCGUGGGGAUCAAACAGGAUUAGAUACCCGGGUAGUC
RNAcentral lists this ribosomal RNA (460 nucleotides) under uncultured bacterium. RNAcentral's name for it is "partial 16S ribosomal RNA". It matches the Rfam family "Bacterial small subunit ribosomal RNA", at positions 338 to 795 of the family's 1533-position model. The record is from RNAcentral.